AUGAGCUCCAGCUCUCCCUGGCCCUCAAGGUGGCCGACAAGGUGCUGGAGGGGGCGGCUUCUGGAGACCAUCAGUCAGCUCUACCUGUCUCUGGGCACUGAGCGGGCCUACAGAUCCACUCUGGACUACACCAAAGUAGUCUGGGGAUUUUCAUUCACCUCCAAAAGAAAGAGGAGACGCAUGCCUGGCUGCAAGCAGGGAAGAUCUACUACGUCCUGCGGCAGAGCGAGAUGGUGGACCUGUACAUCCAGGUGGCACAGAAUGUGGUCCUGUACACAGGCGACCCCAACCUGGGGCUGGAGCUGUUUGAGGCAGCUGGAGACAUCUUCUUCAAUGGGGCCUGGGAGCGGGAGAACGCCGUGUCCUUCUACCAGGGGACCGGCUGAACGAGCGCGUGGCCUACUACCGGCUGGCCGCCCUGCACCACCGGCUGGGCCAUGGCAAGCUGGCGGAGCACUUCUACCUCAAGGCCCUGUAGCUCUGCAACUCGCCGCUGGAGUUCGACGAGGAGACCCUCUACUCCGUGAAGGUGUACCUGGUGCUAGGUGACAUCAUCUUCUACGACCUGAAGGACCCGUUUGAUGCAGCCGGGUACUACCAGCUGGCACUGGCAGCCGCCGUGGACCUGGGCAACAAGAAGGCACAGCUGAAGAUCUCCACGCGGCCGGCCACCAUCUCCCACAACUUCCUCCUGGACCGCGAGAAGUCGCUCUUCUUCUACCGGAAGGCCAGGACCUUCGCCACAGUGCUCAAUGUCUGCAGGGUCAACCUGCCUCCUCUGUCACUCUGCGGGUGGUCCCCCUGGUUGGCCCCAGCCACCCUCGCUGAGGACAACAUCCGAGGGAGUGGGUUUUGUGCAAGGAGGAUGGUCUCCUGCCUCUCCUGGUGUCUCCCGUGGCUCAUUUUCUGGGAAAUGGAUGCAUGAAAGCAGGGUUCAAAUAACAAUAAAGUUUUUUUUUUGCAAUAACAUACCGAAGUCCCCAUGGCAUCCUUGCCUGGUGGCAGCCCUCUGAUCUUGG
This 1019-nucleotide long non-coding RNA is filed under the name Rhinopithecus roxellana (golden snub-nosed monkey). RNAcentral describes it as "lncRNA (ENSRROG00000045839.1)". Lineage: Eukaryota; Metazoa; Chordata; Mammalia; Primates; Cercopithecidae. The record is from RNAcentral.